Molecule: ribosomal RNA, 520 nt
Filed under: uncultured bacterium
Lineage: Bacteria
Description: bacterial SSU rRNA
Rfam family: Bacterial small subunit ribosomal RNA
Source: RNAcentral
AGUGAACGCUGGCGGCAGGCCUAACACAUGCAAGUCGAGCGGCAGCGCGUCCGACCACCCUCGGGUGGUCGGAUGGCGGCGAGCGGCGGACGGGUGAGGAAUGCAUCGGAAUCUGCCUCGUUGUGGGGGAUAACGUAGGGAAACUUACGCUAAUACCGCAUACGACCUACGGGUGAAAGUGGGGGACCUUCGGGCCUCACGCGAUGAGAUGAGCCGAUGCCGGAUUAGCUAGUUGGCGGGGUAAAGGCCCACCAAGGCGACGAUCCGUAGCUGGUCUGAGAGGAUGAUCAGCCACACUGGAACUGAGACACGGUCCAGACUCCUACGGGAGGCAGCAGUGGGGAAUAUUGGACAAUGGGGCAACCCUGAUCCAGCCAUGCCGCGUGUGUGAAGAAGGCCUUCGGUUGUAAAGCACUUUUGUUGGGUAAGAACCGGACCGGGUAAUACCCUGGUUGAAUGACGGUACCCAAAGGAAUAAGCAACCGGCGUAACUUCGUGCCAGCAGCCGCGGUAAACAACG